Molecule: long non-coding RNA, 1293 nt
Organism: Salvia splendens (bonfire salvia)
Lineage: Eukaryota; Viridiplantae; Streptophyta; Magnoliopsida; Lamiales; Lamiaceae
Exons: 10
Source: RefSeq, a predicted model, not a curated record
UUAUGUGUGCUCUGGAUUUUAUUUCGUUUGAAUUAGGGCUUUUAUUGUUUGUGUGUCUGUGAAAUUCUGGAAAGCAGCUCCUAUCAGUGCAGUGCAGAACCUCCGGCCCAUCUCUCCGACCUUUUAGCGAGUUUCCCACACUUGAUACUUUGUGUAAAUAGCACUUCUCUGCGGGAAGUCAUCAUUAGCCAACAAUGACAUUGCCGCUUUCCCAUUUAUUAGCCUGUAGCUCACCUGGUUCCCGAUCUUCGUCUUGAUGUUGGGAUUCAUGUAAAUGUCCACCGGCUCCAAUCCUACUUCAAACCUUCCUUUUCCUUCUCUUUUCACACUUUCCUUAACAAGUGUCUAUUAACUCUUCCUAGGCGAUUUCUCUACUGCCUUACUUUGUAGCUCCGACUUAACUAGGGAGUUAGCUUCACCAUCAAUGUCCACUAUCUGAUGCUUAUAGAUCUGGCUAUCCUGGUAUAAGUGAAAUACUCCAGAGAAUUGGUGGAACUGUACACUACAGAAUUUGAUUGAUUCUCAAAGUCCAUGUUUGGAGAUUGAUUCAGCCGAGGUUGACUGGAAUGGGAAGACUCUUAUUGGUGAAUUCUUAUUUUAGUUUCAGCUUAUUCAAGAGCAAGUCGAGAAUCUCAAGAGGAUGGAAGUGCUGAUGGAGAACGUGAAUCAAGAAAUGUACCUCUGGGAAUCUGCAUACGUGAGAGAUAUACCAACAGUCAUGGUGAGGUGACCUAACUUGUCCCUUUAAGAAUAACCAGUUUUAGUUGUGCACUGCAACUGCAAGAGAUCAAUCACGAGAUCGUUGUUCUGGCGACUUAAUUGCAUAUAUGGUAUUUAUUCAUAAGUGUACAAUUCCCAUAAUCUAUGAACGAGGACUUUGGGAUCCAUCAUGAUUGGUGUGAAUCGUUCAGCAUGCCUAUGAUCUCCUACCUGCUGAUCAUCUUUUCUCAAGACUCGAAGUGGCUCGGAAAAAUUACAUUGGAAACUUACAUCUAGUUUCAUAUAUGGCUGAGUUACCAAUUAUAAUAUGAAUUCUUUUCAAAGAUGGAAAAUGAUUUGCAAUGAUGCAAGAGAUGGUGAAGCAACUCAUGAUGUCCUCAAGUCAAGUCACACUAUUGAUGGUUCUGCUGGGAUAUAAUUAGCCUAUGUAUUAGUACAAAUUAGCUAAAAACUUGAUAUGAUGUAUUCCUUUUGAACUUCAUACUUUUGCUAAUUGUUUUAACAACCAACUUUUAUUGCAAUUUGUCAAAAUAUUUAAGGUUAAUGUUACUUUUGUAGAUUUUAUGUUUAUUA